CACACAUACACAUAUACACACCAGCUCUCACUGAAAUUAAACUAUAACUGAAGACAUCACACACACACACACAACAGCUCUCACUGAAAUUGAAGCCAAACUAUAACUGAAGAUAUCACACACACACACACACACACACACACCAGCUCUCACUGAGAUUAAGCUAUAACUGAAGACAUCACACACACACACACCAGCUCUCACUGAAAUUAAACUAUAACUGAAGACAUCACACACACACACACACACACCAGCUCUCACUGAAAUUAAACUAUAACUGAAGACAUCACACACACACACACACACACCAGCUCUCACUGAGAUUAAGCUAUAACUGAAGACAUCACACACACACACACACACACCAGCUCUCACUGAAAUUAAACUAUAACUGAAGACAUCACACACACACACCAGCUCUCACUGAAAUUAAGCUAUAACUGAAGACAUCACACACACACACACACACACACCAGCUCUCACUGAAAUUAAGCUAUAACUGAAGACAUCACACACACACACACACACCAGCUCUCACUGAAAUUAAGCUAUAACUGAAGACAUCACACACACACACACACACACCAGCUCUCACUGAAAUUAAACUAUAACUGAAGACAUCACACACACAUACACACACCAGCUCUCACUAAAAUUAAACUAUAACUGAAGGCAUCACACACACAUACACACACCAGCUCUCACUGAAAUUGAAGCCAAACUAUAACUGAAGAUAUCACACACACACACACACACACACCAGCUCUCACUGAAAUUAAGCUAUAACUGAAGACAUCACACACACACACACACACACACACCAGCUCUCACUGAAAUUAAACUAUAACUGAAGACAAAUCCUGCAGGGUCACACACCAACUGCUGUUUGGGAAGUUCUUCAAUGAUUCCAACCUGGAUUCCUCUUACUUUACUUGGAUGCCAGCCACAACAUUCCUGGGAUCCUUUUCCAUUUAAAUAAGUUAGGGCUUGGAGAUGGGGAGUGGGAGGAGCAUGGGGAAGCCAAGGCCCAGAGAAGGUAAGCAACCGUCCUAAGAUAACACAGCACUCUUGAGAUGACAGCUCAGGUAUGCAGUCUGCCGGCCCAAGCCCCAUGGAACUGUGGGAAGGAACGCAAGUGAUUCUCCUAUUGGACAGGGGCAAGUGCAUGGAAAAGGAUGAUGGUGAGGCUGAAAGCAGGAAAAGAUUUGACCCAUCUCCCACGUAUGAGCAGCCAUCUCGGGGCACAGGAUCCUAGAAUCCUCAGCAAAGGCAGAAAAAUGGCUAAGAUGACCCUCACCAACCCAUAUGUGCCUUAUCAGCCCAAGAGUGAGUCAGCAGAUGCGGCCAGCACCUUCCGUGUCUGGAAAAGAGACAGGAUUGGGAGAAAAUGUGGGAGGUUGCCCUUUCCCUGGGCCAAAUUAAAAUUCUAACCAAGGAGUUUCUUCAGUCUUGCUGGAGAGUAAAGUUCCCAGAGGGGCAGGGAAGAGUCCCAGAUUCUACAGAGCUUCCCCUGGAAAUGUCAGUGCAUCCAUCAGCUUUGCUCUUGAGCCUUGCUGAGUCUGAGGUGGACAAAGUGACCCACCCUCCUGGCCAUCUUAGUGCCCACCUUGGAUCGGGGGAAAAGGGGGUGGCACGCCGAGGCAGAAGUCCCAAAAGUCAGGGCAGCAGUCGGAGACCGUGCGGUUGCAAAAGAGGUCACAGUAACAAAUGGCGCCCAGGUAGGGCAGGGCACAGUCGUCGGCACGGCCGCGGCAGCACAGGUCCUGCUCCUGGCAGUACCGGCCUCCCGCGUCCCGGAUGCCCCGCAGGUGCAAACCCGGUGCUAGCUCCCGGCGCCCACAACCCUGCUGGGCACCCAGAGCCAAGUGGCCAGCCAGCGGCAGCAACAGCAGUAGCCCCAGUGGACAUCGCCACAUGGUGGCUCCUGGGCCCUGGGGGGCAGAGAUGGUGGGCAGCAGAGACUUCCUGGAACACCAGGGACGGGUCUCCCAGUUUCCUGGAGCUGUGAGUUCAAGAGGGCCCAGCAGGGAGGGAGAUCCCGAUUCCUGAGUCCCCAGGCAGGACACGGGCAGAGGAGCCCCAGUGUGUGGGCCCUGGCUAUAGGGGGAUGGGGACUGGGCAGAAACGGAGCCCCUCCCUGACCUAGGCAGGGACCUUCAAGGACAAGGAAAUGAGGGUGGUGGCAUUCUUGGUGCUCCCACCCAGCACUCAUCCUGUGGACCCAAGGUCUUCUCUCCUGUCCUGGGUCUCUCUGCCCUCCAGGAGCCUCCAUCCCUGACCUGGGUCCUUGACUUUGUGCUUUCCUGUCUCCCCCGGUCUUUUGGGUACACCUCUCUUCUGUUCCUGUGUCCCUCUGUCCCCCUCCACUGUCCCUCUCUCUGCCAUCUGUCUUGGUUCCUCUACCUGCCCCCUCCCCCUGUUUCUUCUCGGUCUACACCUUCCGCCCUCUGAGCAGGGGAGCGUCCCUACCUGGUGAAGGUGUGGGCUGGGGCCCAGGCUGGCCCGCGCGCCUCCG
This 2515-nucleotide long non-coding RNA is filed under the name Pan troglodytes (chimpanzee). RNAcentral describes it as "long non-coding RNA NONPTRT000946". Lineage: Eukaryota; Metazoa; Chordata; Mammalia; Primates; Hominidae. The record is from RNAcentral.